CUCGCAACUCAACUCUUUGUCUGAUUGGCUCUCACGUCUGUCAGUCAUCGCCUGACGAAUCUUCCUGCGAUGUGUAAAAUGCUCUCAUACUUGUUUACACAGAGAAUUGUUUUCAACGCAGAACAACGACGUUUCAAUACAGGACACGUAAGUGGAACAUGGCAUCGAGUUGAGACCAGAUGUAGGAGUUAUAAGGAGCACUCAAAGGCACAAAUUUGUCGUACAUGCCAUGGACCAGCAGUAUGGGUACGGUCAGCUCUGCGUGAUAAACUUCAUCCCCUUCUGGCCAGUACUGACCGCUCAUCAUCGCUCGCAGCACAAAUGGAGAAACGUUAAAUGCAUUUCCCUCUUUCAGCAGUUGUUUCUCUUUCGCACCCUGCCUGGCAAAACCAGCUCUAUGUGAAAGAUCAGGAGAAGAAACACAGGAAAUCUCCAGGCCAGACAUGGAGAGAGACAGUGCAGGACACAUGAGGGCAGCUGAAAGAUGGAGCACAGGCUGGGUUCAAGUGCCGUGGGUCCUCCUCCAUUAAUCAUAACCACCUUAUGCACCUGCUCCGGGUACUCGUGA
Non-coding RNA from Misgurnus anguillicaudatus (oriental weatherfish), 568 nucleotides. Lineage: Eukaryota; Metazoa; Chordata; Actinopteri; Cypriniformes; Cobitidae. The record is from RefSeq and is a predicted model, not a curated record.